RNAcentral lists this ribosomal RNA (500 nucleotides) under uncultured bacterium. RNAcentral describes it as "partial 16S ribosomal RNA". It matches the Rfam family "Bacterial small subunit ribosomal RNA", at positions 30 to 523 of the family's 1533-position model. The record is from RNAcentral.
AUUGAACGCUGGCGGAAUGCUUUACACAUGCAAGUCGAACGGCAGCACGGACUUCGGUCUGGUGGCGAGUGGCGAACGGGUGAGUAAUGUAUCGGAACGUGCCCAGUCGUGGGGGAUAACGUAGUGAAAAUUACGCUAAUACCGCAUACGAUCUAUGGAUGAAAGCGGGGGAUCGCAAGACCUCGCGCGAUUGGAGCGGCCGAUAUCAGAUUCGGUAGUUGGUGGGGUAAAGGCCCACCAAGCCAACGAUCUGUAGCUGGUCUGAGAGGACGACCAGCCACACGGGAACUGAAACACGGUCCAGACUCUUACGGGAGGCAGCAGUGGGGAAUUUUGGACAAUGGGAGAAAGCCUGAUCCAGCCAUUCCGCGUGCAGGAUGAAGGCCCUCGGGUUGUAAACUGCUUUUGUACAGAACGAAAAGGUUUCUACUAAUACUAGGAGCUCAUGACGGUACCGUAAGAAUAAGCACCGGCUAACUACGUGCCAGCCGCCGGCGUAA